GACGAACGCUGGCGGCGUGCUUAACACAUGCAAGUCGAACGGAAAGGCCCUGCUUUUGUGGGGUGCUCGAGUGGCGAACGGGUGAGUAACACGUGAGUAACCUGCCCUUGACUUUGGGAUAACUUCAGGAAACUGGGGCUAAUACCGGAUAGGAGCUCCUGCUGCAUGGUGGGGGUUGGAAAGUUUCGGCGGUUGGGGAUGGACUCGCGGCUUAUCAGCUUGUUGGUGGGUAGUGGCUUACCAAGGCUUUGACGGGUAGCCGGCCUGAGAGGGUGACCGGCCACAUUGGGACUGAGAUACGACCCAGACUCCUACAGGAGGCAGCAGUGCAGAAUAUUCCACAAUGGGCGGAAGCCUGAUGCAGCAACGCCGCGUGCGGGAUGACGGCCUUCGGGUUGUAAACCGCUUUCGCCUGUGACGAAGCGUGAGUGACGGUAAUGGGUAAAGAAGCACCGGCUAACUACGUG
RNAcentral lists this ribosomal RNA (467 nucleotides) under uncultured bacterium. RNAcentral's name for it is "partial 16S ribosomal RNA". It matches the Rfam family "Bacterial small subunit ribosomal RNA", at positions 28 to 507 of the family's 1533-position model. The record is from RNAcentral.